AUUGAACGCUGGCGGCGUGCCUAACACAUGCAAGUCGAGCGGUAACAGGUGUAGCAAUACAUGCUGACGAGCGGCGAACGGGUGAGUAAUGCUUCGGAAUCUGCCCAUGUAGUGGGGAAUAACCAGCCGAAAGGUUGGCUAAUACCGCAUACGACCUACGGGUGAAAGCAGGGGAUCGCAAGACCUUGCGCUAUUGGAUGAGCCGAAGUCGGAUUAGCAGUUGGUAGGGUAACGGCCUACCAAGGCGACGAUCCGUAGCUGGUCUGAGAGGACGACCAGCCACACUGGGACUGAGACACGGCCCAGACUCCUACGGGAGGCAGCAGUGGGGAAUAUUGGACAAUGGGGGCAACCCUGAUCCAGCGACGCCGCGUGUGUGAAGAAGGCCUGCGGGUUGUAAAGCACUUUUAGUGGG
RNAcentral lists this ribosomal RNA (415 nucleotides) under uncultured bacterium. RNAcentral describes it as "bacterial SSU rRNA". It matches the Rfam family "Bacterial small subunit ribosomal RNA", at positions 30 to 443 of the family's 1533-position model. The record is from RNAcentral.